This 24-nucleotide small RNA is filed under the name Arabidopsis thaliana (thale cress). Lineage: Eukaryota; Viridiplantae; Streptophyta; Magnoliopsida; Brassicales; Brassicaceae. The record is from RNAcentral.
AACGUGAUGCUCCUUCGUCAGAUG